This 76-nucleotide transfer RNA is filed under the name Escherichia coli. RNAcentral's name for it is "tRNA-Lys". It matches the Rfam family "tRNA". From Rfam's summary of the family: Transfer RNA (tRNA) molecules are approximately 80 nucleotides in length. Their secondary structure includes four short double-helical elements and three loops (D, anti-codon, and T loops). Further hydrogen bonds mediate the characteristic L-shaped molecular structure. tRNAs have two regions of fundamental functional importance: the anti-codon, which is responsible for specific mRNA codon recognition, and the 3' end, to which the tRNAs corresponding amino acid is attached (by aminoacyl-tRNA synthetases). tRNAs cope with the degeneracy of the genetic code in two manners: having more than one tRNA (with a specific anti-codon) for a particular amino acid; and 'wobble' base-pairing, i.e. permitting non-standard base-pairing at the 3rd anti-codon position. Lineage: Bacteria; Pseudomonadati; Pseudomonadota; Gammaproteobacteria; Enterobacterales; Enterobacteriaceae. RNAcentral also lists the same sequence under 2 other names. The record is from RNAcentral.
GGGUCGUUAGCUCAGUUGGAAGAGCAGUUGACUUUUAAUCAAUUGGUCGCAGGUUCGAAUCCUGCACGACCCACCA